Molecule: ribosomal RNA, 1355 nt
Filed under: uncultured bacterium
Lineage: Bacteria
Description: bacterial SSU rRNA
Rfam family: Bacterial small subunit ribosomal RNA
Source: RNAcentral
AUUGAACGCUGGCGGCAGGCUUAACACAUGCAAGUCGAACGAUGAUUAUCUAGCUUGCUAGAUAUGAUUAGUGGCGGACGGGUGAGUAACAUUUAGGAAUCUGCCUAGUAGUGGGGGAUAGCUCGGGGAAACUCGAAUUAAUACCGCAUACGACCUACGGGUGAAAGGGGGCGCAAGCUCUUGCUAUUAGAUGAGCCUAAAUCAGAUUAGCUAGUUGGUGGGGUAAAGGCCCACCAAGGCGACGAUCUGUAACUGGUCUGAGAGGAUGAUCAGUCACACCGGAACUGAGACACGGUCCGGACUCCUACGGGAGGCAGCAGUGGGGAAUAUUGGACAAUGGGGGCAACCCUGAUCCAGCCAUGCCGCGUGUGUGAAGAAGGCCUUUUGGUUGUAAAGCACUUUAAGCAGGGAGGAGAGGCUAAUGGUUAAUACCCAUUAGAUUAGACGUUACCUGCAGAAUAAGCACCGGCUAACUCUGUGCCAGCAGCCGCGGUAAUACAGAGGGUGCGAGCGUUAAUCGGAAUCACUGGGCGUAAAGCGAGUGUAGGUGGCUCAUUAAGUCACAUGUGAAAUCCCCGGGCUUAACCUGGGAACUGCAUGUGAUACUGGUGGUGCUAGAAUAUGUGAGAGGGAAGUAGAAUUCCAGGUGUAGCGGUGAAAUGCGUAGAGAUCUGGAGGAAUACCGAUGGCGAAGGCAGCUUCCUGGCAUAAUAUUGACACUGAGAUUCGAAAGCGUGGGUAGCAAACAGGAUUAGAUACCCUGGUAGUCCACGCCGUAAACGAUGUCUACUAGCCGUUGGGGUCCUUGAGACUUUAGUGGCGCAGUUAACGCGAUAAGUAGACCGCCUGGGGAGUACGGCCGCAAGGUUAAAACUCAAAUGAAUUGACGGGGGCCCGCACAAGCGGUGGAGCAUGUGGUUUAAUUCGAUGCAACGCGAAGAACCUUACCUGGUCUUGACGUAGUGAGAAUCCUGCAGAGAUGCGGGAGUGCCUUCGGGAAUUCACAUACAGGUGCUGCAUGGCUGUCGUCAGCUCGUGUCGUGAGAUGUUGGGUUAAGUCCCGCAACGAGCGCAACCCUUUUCCUUAUUUGCCAGCGGGUUAAGCCGGGAACUUUAAGGAUACUGCCAGUGACAAACUGGAGGAAGGCGGGGACGACGUCAAGUCAUCAUGGCCCUUACGACCAGGGCUACACACGUGCUACAAUGGUAGGUACAGAGGGUUGCUACACAGCGAUGUGAUGCUAAUCUCAAAAAGCCUAUCGUAGUCCGGAUUGGAGUCUGCAACUCGACUCCAUGAAGUCGGAAUCGCUAGUAAUCGCAGAUCAGAAUGCUGCGGUGAAUACGUUCCCGGGCCU